RNAcentral lists this ribosomal RNA (467 nucleotides) under uncultured bacterium. RNAcentral's name for it is "partial 16S ribosomal RNA". It matches the Rfam family "Bacterial small subunit ribosomal RNA", at positions 28 to 506 of the family's 1533-position model. The record is from RNAcentral.
GAUGAACGCUGGCGGCGUGCUUAACACAUGCAAGUCGAACGGUGAAGGCGGAGCUUGCUCUGCUGGAUCAGUGGCGAACGGGUGAGUAACACGUGAGCAAUCUGCCCCUGACUCUGGGAUAAGCGCUGGAAACGGCGUCUAAUACUGGAUACGAGCUGCGAAGGCAUCUUCAGCAGCUGGAAAGAAUUUCGGUCAGGGAUGAGCUCGCGGCCUAUCAGCUUGUUGGUGAGGUAAUGGCUCACCAAGGCGUCGACGGGUAGCCGGCCUGAGAGGGUGACCGGCCACACUGGGACUGAGACACGGCCCAGACUCCUACGGGAGGCAGCAGUGGGGAAUAUUGCACAAUGGGCGAAAGCCUGAUGCAGCAACGCCGCGUGGGGGACGACGGCCUUCGGGUUGUAAACCUCUUUUAGCAGGGAAGAAGCGAAAGUGACGGUACCUGCAGAAAAAGCGCCGGCUAACUACGU